Long non-coding RNA from Rosa chinensis, 683 nucleotides. RefSeq lists it as uncharacterized. The record is from RefSeq and is a predicted model, not a curated record. The transcript has 3 exons. Lineage: Eukaryota; Viridiplantae; Streptophyta; Magnoliopsida; Rosales; Rosaceae.
UUCGUGUCUGAUUCAAAAGCAAAUCCCUCAUCCAAUCGAAGCGCCCAGCUCCUCACCUGGGUUCCCAGUGGAUUUCACCCUCUCUGCACUAAAACCCAUCCCUCAGAUCCCUAAUCAUAAAUCGGAGAAUAAUGGCGAAGCAAUCUAAAGCCAAGAAAUUGGAGAAUCUGGGCAAAGGCACCGUCACCCCCAUCCAGAUCGCCUUCCUCGUCGACCAGUAUCUCUUCAGUAAUAGCUACACAGAAGCCCGCUUUGUUUUCAGAACUAAAGCCUCCUCACUCUUCUCCAAGUCUCCGAUCCAAGAGGUGUCGAAGAGCUUGCUGAGUUAGUCUGAGAUUCUGAAUGAGUACAUAGCAUUGAGGGAGUAGAAGGUGCUUUGUGAAGCCAACGGUGACCCGGACAAGGCUGACGAGCCGUUCAUGAGCUCCACCGAGCUUCAUCUCUUCCCCUCAGUUUUUGCUCUUCCGACUGUUAUACACAGAUUGCUUUCGCUAUUCAGGCAUAACAAUAAGCUAUGGCGCUGAGGAGAAAAUUGGGUGACAGUUCAAAUCAUAAUUGCAAAAUGAUGUCAAGGUUUUCGAGGUAUUAUAGCUCAAACGAGGUGGACUUAAAGAAGCUGAGGCUUAUGAAGAUCUGAAGAGAAUCUAGGACCAAGAUAAGGAAUAUCUUCAUUCAACUCCUAC